CCCACAAUGCACUUCAUGGGCCCCUCUCCGUGUUAGUUCUUGGGAAACGCAGUCCAACGUCGGAUGGCCUGUUUAGAAACCAUGUCCAAGAACUAGAGCAUUAACUUGAAGAAAGAGGUUAAGAGCUUUCUCUCCAAUCAUUCCAAAAGUAACGCUCGUGAGACAGGCAGAAUUUUCCAGAUAAGGUGACUGCCCCAGAGAGACUGUGAUUGUCUAAGUUCUGGCCACAUUGGUACAGAAGAGCAGAUCUCUGAUUCCUUCUCUCCAGUCCUCUAGCCUGACCUGAGGAGGGGCUUUUGCUUCUGGUGGAAAGUGGUCUCUGCACAAGGCCGUAUUCCCAGCGGGAUCAGCUCAUUAGUCCCACUUGCUGAUCUUCACAGCAAUGCGCCUACUCACCAGGAGCUGCAGGUGGAAGGACCAUGUGGAGCCCAGAGCUCUGAAGGGCCAGGUCUAAUAGACCUGCAGUUCCUGUGGAGAGUGGGCUCAUAUUGGAGAGCUGGAUCUCUCGACCCCAGCCGUCUGAGAGGUGUGUGAGGUCCUCAGCAGUGCAAGAUGCAGCUGAGGGCGGGAGGAGAAGCAAGCCUGUGCUGUCACGUUCUGUUGCAGAACCCUGAAAAGUUGGCAAAUUCUAAAUCCAAGCCUGGCCUUCCAGGUUGUCAUGAAGAUAUAUAUACCAUGUUCAGAUUUCUGAAAUCGGGAAGCAUCCUACAAACCAUGACCUCUGCAUUGUGUUUCAUCAACAUUGCUGCUUCUUUGUUAGUUGUACAGUAAACGAUG
Molecule: long non-coding RNA, 777 nt
Filed under: Equus asinus (donkey)
Lineage: Eukaryota; Metazoa; Chordata; Mammalia; Perissodactyla; Equidae
Description: lncRNA (ENSEASG00005034999.1)
Source: RNAcentral